AGUGAACGCUGGCGGUAGGCCUAACACAUGCAAGUCGAACGGCAGCACAGUAAGAGCUUGCUCUUACGGGUGGCGAGUGGCGGACGGGUGAGGAAUACAUCGGAAUCUACUUUUUCGUGGGGGAUAACGUAGGGAAACUUACGCUAAUACCGCAUACGACCUACGGGUGAAAGCAGGGGAUCUUCUGACCUUGCGCGAUUGAAUGAGCCGAUGUCGGAUUAGCUAGUUGGCGGGGUAAAGGCCCACCAAGGCGACGAUCCGUAGCUGGUCUGAGAGGAUGAUCAGACACACUGGAACUGAGACACGGUCCAGACUCCUACGGGAGGCAGCAGUGGGGAAUAUUGGACAAAGGGCGCAAGCCUGAUCCAGCCAUACCGCGUGGGUGAAGAAGGCCUUCGGGUUGUAAAGCCCUUUUGUUGGGAAAGAAAAGCAGCAGGUUAAUACCCCGCUGUUCUGACGGUACCCAAAGAAUAAGCACCGGCUAACUUCGUG
RNAcentral lists this ribosomal RNA (492 nucleotides) under uncultured bacterium. RNAcentral describes it as "partial 16S ribosomal RNA". It matches the Rfam family "Bacterial small subunit ribosomal RNA", at positions 29 to 507 of the family's 1533-position model. The record is from RNAcentral.